This is a non-coding RNA of Oryctolagus cuniculus (rabbit), 3002 nucleotides long. The record is from RefSeq and is a predicted model, not a curated record. NCBI's taxonomy places the organism in Eukaryota, Metazoa, Chordata, Mammalia, Lagomorpha, Leporidae.
UUAUCCAAGAAGGGUUGUCAAUGGCGCACCCGUAGGGGCUUUCAGGAGCAGCAGAGCCUGCCUGUAUGCCGCACUUGUCUCUGACAAAGCUGGGUCUCUCCACACAUCAGUCACAUAAUCCCCAAAGCCCUUUCCAGACAGGGUCUGAAUUAGCUUGCUUGUUGAGUCCACAUAUCAUUGGUCUCAGUGCCUCCUCGGCUCCAGCAUGUUAUAUGCAUGUCCACUAGAGCAAUCCUCAUGUUAUACUGUGGCUUGUGUUCUUUUUAUCUGACUGUUAGACUAUGGACAGCUGGAAGGCCCAACCGUGUCUUAUUUAAUUUUGUAGAAUGACACCCCUGAAGGCUUGACAUACUCUAGGAGCUCAGUAGAUGCAGCUGAAUCAAUUAAUUCAUGCGCCUUUACCCCGAUGUGCUCUUCAAUGUGUGUUUCCUUCCUCGGCAAUGCAAAGAGUCCUGUAAGAGAGUAGACUGAGGAGUCAGAAGAGCAAGGUUGACUCUACACAGCUCUGGUCUUUGGAAGAAGGACUCAGUGACUAUGGAACUUGAAGUUGGAAGAAUGGAGAGCCUUUGUCCUGGGGACUGGUACUUCUGGAAUGUUGGCCACAUGAGUAACCAUGGAAACUGUGUAUUUUGGGUAGCAUCAAUUCCAUGAGGUGUUCAAGAUAAAAGUGUUGUGUGCCAGUGAACUCUGACAAUGCUGCAAACUCUUUCUCUUGGAAAGUAACAGUAUCACUGCUAUGGGGCAAUCUUCAGAGACACUGUAAGGAAGAGUCUUGGAAUGUCUUGGAACAGUGCUUUGGAGGAGUAGAGGGGAAGAAGACUUCAGCUGCAGAGUCUCCACGGAGCAAGCCGUCAAGGUCCAGAGGCAGAUGGGAGCAAGUGUAUCUGGAGAGAAGACAGAGUGAUCCUGGUGGAAGGACCAUCUAGAGAAACAGUAAAAAUGAAGACCAAGGAGGCAGUCAUGCAUGGAGUGUGUAUUGAAGUGGACAUAGAGCGCAGAGCAUGGGACAAGGGGUAUAUGAAUGAGGUGUCCUUGACAUGUGGCUGAAUCCCAAGUCCACAUCCCUGUGAGGAAACCUCUAUCAACAGACUGCUCAGCUGACCCAAGAACCGCAGAAAAUUACAGACUUAGGAAAAUGGGCCUGUGAUGGAAGAGUGCUCCGGUCAACCACAGCUGGCUCCAGGACCCCAGCGAGUUAGUAAACAUCUGUCAGGCUCAGGCUGAAGACGUGCCUGCCUUGCAUUGUUUUCUCCAAGCUGCCUCACUAAGGAAUCAUUCUCUUUAUCUCUGCAAAUAUUUUCCUGGACUUUCUCUCUCCUUUGGUUCCUGCAAGCUUUCAUCAGCUCUUCCAAUCCUGUCCUCAAGAGCAUCAGGUCGAAGCAUCCAAAGAAAUGACGACUCAGAGAGGGCAGCAGCCUUGCUGAGAUUCACAGACACAUUGUCCAGCCCCUUCUCUGCACAUCUUCUCUAUGGUGUUGAGUUGGCACUACAUCUUAACAUCUCAUCUCCUUGAUGAUGAGGAAGGAAGACACGGCAAAAAAGAGGGCAAAUUGCCUCUACUUCUGAAUGCCUGUAAACCACCCUGUUGACUACUUGGAGUUCUGUACCCCAAAAGGUACACAAUAGUCUCAGAAAUGAAUUAAGUCCUUUAGACCUUCGAGAAAUUGGAGUAUUCUGCCAGCUACAUCAUCUGCCAGUGUUGAUGAUCCAAUUCUUUUCCUCAUUUGUGCUUUAACACCAAUGAUAUGAACUCUGCAGAUGGAAUGGUGAUUCUAGUCACAUGCAGAAAGCCUUGGAUGUGUUUAAUUUCCUGCCACACUCUGUGACAAAGAACUAAUUUCAUGUCUUAUGAUCAAAUAACUGUAACUUUGCAGGAGCACAGUGUGUUGGAAUAGGGACACUCAGGGUCCUUGUGUGGCUUGGGACAUUGCCAAGGCAGCAAUGGGGUCUGAAUGUUUUUAUUUUAUUCCUGCCUUAUUGCUGUGCCUAAUUCUCCCAUUUCAAAAUGUCAUGGAGUAGGCUGGUGUCAUUUGUUUUCAUAAAUUAAUGUCUAUGGCAAUUUAUGGCCAGAUGGACCCUGAGAAAUAAGAGCCGUGUGUGUGUGUGUGUGUGUGCGCGUGUAUGUGUGUUGGAAGGUCUAAAGAAAAGCAGUGGGCAAUGGGCAGGGUGAACUUUUGCACUUAGUGCUUCAUUCUGUGGAGAGAGCAAAUACUUGUGAAAAAUCAUGUUUUAUAACAGCUGGGCACAAAGGACCCCUUAUUCAGAUUCAUUUUUGCCACUGCCUCUUAUUCCUCUAGCAACUAGAAAAAAUGUAAAUAUCCUGAAUUCUUCUCACUGGGAAGCCCUGUGCAAUAGAGAGCAGAUUUCACUCUGCUGGGAAAUCGGAGGUCCAGAAUCUGAAUUUUCUGGCGACAGUGCCUCAGCCAGCUGAGGUGAGGGCUGUGGUGCACACUGGGUCAUGGCACAGGAAGACUGGGCCCAGCACGUGCAUCUCUCCUUUUUGCUACUCCUUCAUGGAUCAAUGAGAAGAACUGGGUCACUGGGAGAAACAGAGAAAAGGGAAAACUAUUUAAAACACAGCAGAGAAUUUGAUGAUUCUCUGAUUCUAAGAAACCGUGGCUGCUGGGAAGCUGAAAUCAGAGGUGGGCUUGGCAGCAGCCAAAGAAAAGACUGCCUGGCCCCUGUGAGCAUCCAGGGCCCACGUGUGGCAGGAUGCACCUCCUCCUGCUAGGGCCCUGCCUUGGGGCACGCAGAAGGCAAGACUGGACAAGAGCCAUUUCCUGAGCCAUGUUAACAGAGUUUUGUGAUUUGGGCAAGCCACACAGAUUUCUGAUUAAUUUCUUUCCUAGGUAAAACAAAAUGUUUAUUUUUCACUUUAUGUUUGUGCGGGAGCAAACUGUUGAAAUCUUUACUUAAUGUAUGCUAAACUGAUCUUUUGUAUAUAAAGAGAAUCGAAAAUGAAUCCUCAUGUGAAUGGAAGGGGAGAGGGAGUGGGAAAGGGG